GCGUCUCAAUGCUAAUUAAUUCACUAAUUAACACUAAUUAGCCAUCUCCACAGUAAUGAUCUCUGUCUCGCAGGUGGACGUGUCGCUGGACGGGGGCCGGACGUGGCGCGAGGCCGAGCUGGGCCCGCGGCCGGAGCGGGGCCGGGGCUGGGCCUGGGCGCUGUGGGAGCUGCGGGCGCCGGUGCCCGCGGGGGCGCGGCUGGAGAUCGUCUGCAAGGCCGUGGACCGGAGCUACAACGUCCAGCCCGACACCGUGGCGCCCAUCUGGAACCUGAGAGGGGUCCUGAGCAACGCCUGGCACCGCGUGCCCGUCACCGUCACCAAGUGAGGGACAGCAGGACAUUGGGGACAUUGGGGUCAGCAGGGACAUCAGGGACAUCUGGAAUUUGUGUGGGGUCCUCAGCAGCGCCUGGCACCGGGUCAGUGUCACCGUCACCAAGUGAAGGACAUUGGGGUACUGGGGACAUUGGGGUUUUGGGGACAUCGGGGACACAGCAGGGACAUCGGGGACAUUGGGGACAUCAGAGGUACGACGUCCAACCGGACACCGUGGGGCCCAUCUGGAACCUGAGCAAGGCCUGGCACGGGGUCAGCGUCACCGUCACCCAGUGAGGGACAUCGGGGACAUCGGGGACAUCUGGAACCUGCCCAGGGUCCCGAGCAAGGCCUGGCACCGGGUCAGUGUCACCGUCACCCAG
Molecule: long non-coding RNA, 698 nt
Filed under: Junco hyemalis (dark-eyed junco)
Lineage: Eukaryota; Metazoa; Chordata; Aves; Passeriformes; Passerellidae
Description: lncRNA (ENSJHYG00000002403.1)
Source: RNAcentral